UUUUGAGAAAAAUAGAUACAUACCUAUCUGAUUUACCUCUAAUGGAGAAACAAAUGUUGUCACUUAGGUGCUGGUGUUGGGUUCCCAAAGAGCACAGCUCAGUCGUGGGAGAUAUCUGUCAACCAUGAGGAAGCCCAGGUGAUGACGAAAAUGUCCUGAGCACCUCUUUUGGGUCCUUUGAAGUGUAAUAGCAAUUUUAAUCAAGUGGUUAUUACUGACAUUCAUUGGAAGCUUACAGAUGAAGGAACUGAGGCUCAGAACUGGGAAUUCAAAGUUUUUAGAACCAACACAUGAAAAUGGCUCAGAGGCCCUGGACUUAAGGAAAGGAGAUGAUCAAGGAGAUAAUGAUCAAGAAACUGAGUCUCAAAAAAUAUUUGAUGGAAGUCUAUCUGGGUCUAAUGCCAGGGCUUCUAACCAAUCCACACUAUAA
Molecule: long non-coding RNA, 430 nt
Filed under: Ailuropoda melanoleuca (giant panda)
Lineage: Eukaryota; Metazoa; Chordata; Mammalia; Carnivora; Ursidae
Description: lncRNA (ENSAMEG00000028813.1)
Source: RNAcentral